RNAcentral lists this non-coding RNA (68 nucleotides) under unclassified sequences. RNAcentral's name for it is "S15-Flavobacteria ribosomal protein leader". It matches the Rfam family "S15-Flavobacteria ribosomal protein leader". The record is from RNAcentral. RNAcentral also lists the same sequence under 2 other names.
UAUAUUUGCCGCCUGAUUAUCAAAGCGGUAAUCUGUACAUAAAAAUCAUUUAAAAUAAUAUUGGCAUG